Molecule: long non-coding RNA, 974 nt
Organism: Acipenser ruthenus (sterlet)
Lineage: Eukaryota; Metazoa; Chordata; Actinopteri; Acipenseriformes; Acipenseridae
Exons: 3
Source: RefSeq, a predicted model, not a curated record
CCUAAUGAGCUCCUCUAGGGCAAUAGGCACAACAAUAUUUAACAGAGACAGACGCAGCAAUGCUUUGCACCAAGACAUCAUAGCAGAUCAUCUACCCACAUUGUAUUGCAGCUGACUGAGAAGGUAAUCCUCAGGGUGCUUGUUGGGCAGUCUGACUCUAUCCUGGUUUGUAGGACCCCAUUGUGUACCCUGAAGAGAGGCUCCAUGGCUCAUGAGUUGCUGUGUACCAUCACCAGUAACAGCAGCUAGGGGGCAGGGAUCAUUUUAUUUUGCAUUGAUACCGCCCUCUCCCCCUUCUGUCCGACAUGGCCGGCCACUGCUGCUCAUCAGCAAGACGGGCCGCUGCAACCUGCAGUACAAGGAGAACACGGGUCAGAUGAAGAUGCACCAGCACUCGCUGCAGGACCCCUUCAUGGACAUGCCCUGGCCCUCCUUCCUGCUCGCCUUUCAUGCUGGAUGGUGUCUGGUCUGAUCUGGUGGAGCAUCAGGUACCGGAGGGGGAACACAGCCCCACAAGCAGGGCAACAACACCACCGCCACCCCCUGUGUCACCUACGUCCGCUCCUUCUCCUCCUCUUCCCUCUUCUCCAUCGAGACGCAGACCACCAUCGGCUACAGCGUGCACUCCGUCACCUCGGAGUGCAGCAAGGGCAUCCUACUGCUGGUAGUGCAGGCCCUGGUGGGUUUAUAAAAAGUUAUUUUAAAUAGAGUGUAAGACCUCCCGGUCUUAAUCAGUUAAGUAUUUAAUGAGUAUUGUAUAACAAAUGUAAUCUUAUGCAGUUUUAGGGAAGAGGACUGUGAAGCGAAGCUAAGUUACUCAAACUGUGUGACAUUGUAUCUCUUUUAAUUAUAAACACCCUACACAUGAGGUAUUCACUUUUUAUAUGACUUUAAGUUGUCUUUAACUUUAGAAUUUUGCCUUUUAAUGUUCUGUUCAUGGGAUGACAUCUAUGGACAGGACAGAGUGUCCUGGA